RNAcentral lists this ribosomal RNA (430 nucleotides) under uncultured bacterium. RNAcentral's name for it is "bacterial SSU rRNA". It matches the Rfam family "Bacterial small subunit ribosomal RNA", at positions 96 to 524 of the family's 1533-position model. The record is from RNAcentral.
UGGCGGACGGGUGAGUAACACAUCGGAACCCACCCAGUUGUGGGGGAAAGCCCGGCGAAAGCGGGAUUAAUACCGCGAACGACCUGAGGGUGAAAGUGGGGGAUCGCAAGACCUCACGCAGUUGGAGCGGCCGAUGGCGGAUUACCUAGUUGGUGAGGUAAAGGCUCACCUUAGCGACGAUACGAAGCUGGUCUGAGAGGACAACCAGGCCCCCUGGAACUGAAACGCGGUCCAGACUCCUACGGGAGGCAUGGCUGGGGAAUUUUGGACAAUGGGGGCAACCCUGAUCCAACCAUUCCGCGUGAGUGAAGAAGGCCUUCGGGUUGUAAAGCUCUUUCUUUUGAACGAAACGGUGAGGGUUAAUACCUCUCAUCAAUGACGGUACCUGAACGUGCCCACCGGCUAACUACGUGCCAGCAACCGCGGUAAU